AACCGUGCGAAGGUAGCGUAAUCACUUGUUCUUUAAUUGUGGACUAGUAUGAAUGGCACCACGAAGGUUAUACUGUCUCCUUUUUCUAAUCAGUGAAACUAAUCUCCCCGUGAAGAAGCGGGGAUAAGAAUAUAAGACGAGAAGACCCUAUGGAGCUUUAAACAAUAUAGCAAUUGCCAUAUAAUCUAAAAUUUUCUGAAUCUUUAAUAUACUAAAGGUGGUAUGACUAUAAGUUUUUGGUUGGGGUGACCGCGGAGCAUAAUAUAACCUCCAUGUUGAAAGAAUUUCUUAAGCCAAGACCCACCCGUCUGAGCAUCAAUUUAUUGACAUUCAUUGACCCAAUAUAUUUGACCAACGAACCAAGUUACCCUAGGGAUAACAGCGCAAUCCACUUCAAGAGCUCCUAUCGACAAGUGGGUUUACGACCUCGAUGUUGGAUCAGGGUACCCCAGUGGUGCAGCCGCUACUAAAGGUUCGUUUGUUCAACGAUUAAAACCCU
This 499-nucleotide ribosomal RNA is filed under the name Capensibufo magistratus (Landdroskop mountain toadlet). Its description in RNAcentral is "partial small subunit ribosomal RNA". It matches the Rfam family "Bacterial large subunit ribosomal RNA", at positions 1944 to 2597 of the family's 2925-position model. The record is from RNAcentral. Lineage: Eukaryota; Metazoa; Chordata; Amphibia; Anura; Bufonidae.